UCCCUGGAGGACUAGUGGUUAGGCCUUGUGCUCGCAACGCUGCGGCCUGGGUUCGAUUCCCAGCCAGGGAA
Molecule: non-coding RNA, 71 nt
Organism: Pangasianodon gigas (Mekong giant catfish)
Lineage: Eukaryota; Metazoa; Chordata; Actinopteri; Siluriformes; Pangasiidae
Source: the annotation of a GenBank genome assembly